This 82-nucleotide transfer RNA is filed under the name Paracoccaceae bacterium. Its description in RNAcentral is "Rhodobacteraceae bacterium tRNA-Leu". It matches the Rfam family "tRNA". Rfam says of the family: Transfer RNA (tRNA) molecules are approximately 80 nucleotides in length. Lineage: Bacteria; Pseudomonadati; Pseudomonadota; Alphaproteobacteria; Rhodobacterales; Paracoccaceae. The record is from RNAcentral.
UCUUCUAUGAUGGAACCGGUAGACAUGUUUGACUUAAAAUCAAAUGCUUAACGGCGUAUGGGUUCAAAUCCCAUUAGAAGAA